RNAcentral lists this long non-coding RNA (1703 nucleotides) under Daucus carota (carrot). Its description in RNAcentral is "long non-coding RNA (DCAR_LNC001830)". The record is from RNAcentral. Lineage: Eukaryota; Viridiplantae; Streptophyta; Magnoliopsida; Apiales; Apiaceae.
ACGGAGGGUUACGCAUCUGACGGAUUCGAAACCACCAGUGAAAGCGAUGUGAUUAACGAUGAGAAUGAUCAUCACAACAACAAAGAUGAGAAACAAAUUACUCGAGAUGAUGAUAAUGAUCAAUCCGUGCCUGUCACCGAAGAAGAUAUUCAUCCUUACCAUGAUUCUCUCACCGACGAUCAAAUUCAUCAGCGACUCUGCUAUUCUCUCUCUAUCGCCGCUGUUUCGGCACGGCGCCGCCGGCGGUGGCAGUGUUUAUCGACAAGGGUAUCACCGGAAAAAGGGUACUGUACUUGCGCCUCUCUUUCAUAAGUUUCAUUUGCCUAGAUAUGUCUUCUCUUCUCUGUGUUUUUUCACCUUUCAAUCCUUUUUAUUUGUAUAUAAUUGUUUUACUUUUUCUUUAUGUACCAUAUGUAUUGGAUCAUACGUCAAUUUUGCGCUGAUGGGUCGAGUUUGUGUUUACGUUUUGUUUCCAAGUUCUAGUCCUUGUCUCGUUUUUAGUUUUGUUUUGGUUUUGCAUUUUCUGAGUUACAGCACUGUGUUGAAGUAUGUGAUGCUGAGUUUUGAGUUUUGAUGCAUAGUUUGGUCUGAGUCGCCAUCCCGAGUAUUUUGUUUAGCACCGAGUUGAGUGAAAUCGUGUUUGCGUCGUUUGAUUUGCUAGUUUUGUGCGCUUCUGCUGAUUUCACUAGCUUAAAUGAUUGCCUGGAUUUAGUUCUGAGUAUUGUUUCCUGUUAGUUCUUUUUUCAGCCAAGUAACGCCCGAGUCGCAUGAUCCUAGUUUUAAUGUUGCAUUAUUUUGUUUAUUAUUGUCUGAGCUGCUUUUUAAUUUUUAUCGCUACUGAGUCAAUUAAUCUAAGAGUUGAUACAGGUGUCAUGUUGAAUUAGUAGUGGUCACUUAAUUAGUGUUAUUAGAUUUUUCUGAUUGAAUUAUUUUAUGGCAUGAUUUUAGUUUUAGAAUUGUAAAUUUGAAUAUUAUUUGGAAUUGUAAAUUUGAAUAUUAUUUGAUUUUGAUAGUAGUAAUUGUAGAUCUUGAUUUGUUAUGUUUUAAAUUGNUGUUGCAUUAUUUUGUUUAUUAUUGUCUGAGCUGCUUUUUAAUUUUUAUCGCUACUGAGUCAAUUAAUCUAAGAGUUGAUACAGGUGUCAUGUUGAAUUAGUAGUGGUCACUUAAUUAGUGUUAUUAGAUUUUUCUGAUUGAAUUAUUUUAUGGCAUGAUUUUAGUUUUAGAAUUGUAAAUUUGCAUAUUAUUUGGAAUUGUAAAUUUGAAUAUUAUUUGAUUUUGAUAGUAGUAAUUGUAGAUCUUGAUUUGUUAUGUUUUAAAUUGUGAUUGGAUAAAUAUUCUUUAUGAAUAUUUAGUACCAUUUAUGGGGUCAUUAUUGAUGACAUUAUAUGCCUUUAAUGGCUUUUAGUGCCAUUUUUAUGGCUUCCGUUACCAUUUUGAUGGUCAUUACAUUUAAUAUAUGAGUUAGAUUUUAAACUCAACUUUUAUUCUUCAGUUAAAAUUUUAAAUUUUUAUGUGUCUAACCAAAGGAUUUUCCUUUGGUUAGAUAUUUAUUAAUAAUUCUACAUUAUAUAUAUAUUCCUCUUUAUUUUUUGAUAUAUAUACCCUUUAGUUUUUGUUUUUAUUAGAUUUUUUUGUAUAUUGAUUUAUGUUUUAUUUGAUUGUUUUUUUCUCAGGAUACUUUGGAAGUGAGCUGUAGUGUAUGG